ACAAAGAACAGAAAAUUACAAAUAACAAAGAACAGAAAUUCAAAGCACAGGUUUACAAAGAACAACACAGAAAUUACAAAGAGCAACACACAUAAAUAUAUAAACAGUACAGAAAUUAAAAGUUACCGAUGAUGCACGCUGGUCACAGUGAUGACGAGAACGGUGGUCGACGGCGAGAAGAAGAAGGAAACAGAUUGGGCGAGAUUGGUUGGUCGACGGCGAGAAGCAAACAGAUUGGGCGGGAUUGGUUGGUCGACGGCGAGAAGAAGAAGAAGGUCUGUUACUUAUUUUAGGUUUUAGGAGUUUUGGGGAGAAAGGGAAGAUCUGUUACUCAUUUUAGGUUUUAGGGGUUUUGGGGGUUUUGGGGGG
This 369-nucleotide long non-coding RNA is filed under the name Cicer arietinum (chickpea). Its description in RNAcentral is "long non-coding RNA (CARI_LNC000503)". Lineage: Eukaryota; Viridiplantae; Streptophyta; Magnoliopsida; Fabales; Fabaceae. The record is from RNAcentral.